CUGCUAAGCCUGUGGAGGCAAUUAAAUGAGAAACAAUGCUUUACACCUUCACCCACUAGAAGGAAAGGCAUCAGGACUAUAGAUAAGAUUACUCCACAGGUAUGGAGGCUAGAAGAUGUCUUAAUAACAUCUGAAAUAUCAUCCACCUCAGGGGGCCCAGGUAGCCACGGACAGGCCUCCAGAAGAAGAAGUAGUAGUAAAAACAACACUAACUAUUCAAGGGAGGUUUUGGCAAGUCCUGAUCUUUGGAAGGGUGUCAUAUGAAUGCAGGAUUGUGUUGAGGAUCUAAAGGCUCCUGACUGAAAAAUGAUCCUGGAAUGGAACAAAGUAUUCUGACAGUUUUAAGGUAAGUGUAGAGAGGGUGUCUUGUAGAGAGAGCUGACCUUGGUAGUUUAUCUUGGUUUUGCAAGGACUUGUUUUGCAAGCAGGUUUUCCACUCGGGCUCUGUAUCAUGUGUUGGCCACAUGGGUAUAGCGUGCAAGUGGAAAAAACACUGCAGACCCAGGGGAAAAUAAAAGCAGGAGAGAGGCUGCAGUGGGGGAGAGAGGAAAAGUGCACUAUGAAGCACAGGAUUCUCUGCUGACACUACCUAUCAAAUCCACUGCCAUGUUCCUUCUCUUUCCUAUUCAGCAGUUUGCUGUCUCUCAAGGGUUGGGAAGAAUGAAAAGAAAAUGAAGACUGGGUACGAACCUGAAGACUGAAGACGAACCUCUGCUGUCCUGUGCCUUGAACAUCAAUGCUGUUGCAAAGAAGUGAAAGGUUUCCUGAUGCAGUCGCAUUUUCCAGGGAAAAGGAAUCAAAACAGCAGAAAAUAGAUCCAAGACAGGCCACAGCAGACACAGCCAAGAAAAGAGCGUCUUGUUAUGUACCUCUGCUGGACAAGAAGAUGAAGGCCUUCUCAGCUCAUGCAGGAGACAUUAUAUCACCAAAGCCAAGCACAAAGACUUUUACUACUCUUACUUAUAGUUGGUUUCAAUAAGUCUGUUGUUAGGAGCAACUUUUCAAAGGUCCUCCUCAUGGAUAUGUUGCUCAUUCUUCCUCGUCAGCUUUGUUCUGAAACAAACAAAAGGUGUAAUUAUCCACCCCAAACCCUCUGUACUGGAGGUUCUCCCUAGCCUUCCUCUUACUGUUGAUGUAUUUAUAGAAACAUUUAGUAUUGUCUUUCACCUUAAUGACCAAGUUUAGUUCUAGCUGGGCUUUGUCCUUCCUAAUUUUCUCCCUGCACAGCUUCACUAUGUAUUUGCAAUCCUCAUGAGUUGCUUGCCCCCUGUUCCAAAGACCAUAAACUUUUCUUUUGUUCCUGAGUUCCAGCCAAAGGUCUCUGUUCAAUAAGACCUGUCUCCUUCUCCAUUGGCUCAUCUUCCAUGUCUUGGGGAUGGUCAGCUCCUGCACCUUUAAAAUAACUUCCUUAAGGUUUUCCUAGCUUUCCUGGGCUCCCAUGCGCUCCAGAACUACCUCCCAAGGGACACCCUCAACCAUGGUCUGAAAAAGACCAAAGUCUGCCCUCUAGAACUCCGAGGUGGCAGUUCUGCUGACUCCCCUCUGUUCUUCAGCAAGGAUCAAAAAAAUCUAUCAUUUCCAGAUCACUUUGCCCCAGACAGCCUCCAACCUUCACAUCCCUCACAAGACCUUCUCUGUUAACAAGCAGCAUGCGCAGGAGUUUUCUUUUCCUCGUUGGCUCCCUCACCAUCUGUGUUAGGAAGUUAUCAUACAUACACUAGGGACUGUUCCCUGUCUGCUGUAUUAUAAUUCCAGCAGAUGUCUGGGAAGUUGAAGUCCCCCAUGAGACCAAGGGGUAGAGACUGCAAGACUUCACCCAACUGUGUAUAAAGUAUCUUAUCCACCGCUUCAUCCUGGUUGGGUGGCCUGUAACAGACUCCCAUGAUAAUGUUUGUCUUAUUGGCCUUCUCUUUGAUUCUGACCCACAAGCUCUCAACCCUGUAAUCACCAACAUUAAUUUCCAGACAUUCACAGUUUUUCUUAGCAUAGAGUGCCACACCACCAUCUUUUCUGCCUUGCUUACCUGUUUUGAAUAGUUGGUAGCCAUCAAUCACAACACUCCAGCUGAGUCAUCCCACCACAUUUCUGUGAUAGCAACUAUGUCAUAGUUUUCCAACAACACAAUGACCUCCAGCUCCUCCUGUUUAUUACCUGUGCUGUGUGCACUAGUGUAAAUGAACCUAAGCUGUGCCACCUUUUGGAUGGGAGAAGCCCUAAUAACAUCUUGACCAUACUCAGGUGUUUUCAUAUAGUAAUCAACCUCACACCAACCUUGUGUUCUUCUUGCAAAAUGGUGUGUCAUCCUCUUCUUUCACUAAGACAAACGACUGUGGGAUCUUACUGGCACAUUCCUUUCCCACAGGCACUAACAUGUAACAUACAGGCUCUUUUCUAGUGACCCCAGUUUCACCCCUACCCCCCUUCAUACCUAGUUUAAAGCUCUAUCAAUGAACCCUGCCAACUCCCACUGUAAAACCCCUUUCCACCUAUGGAAUAAGCUAUUCCUAUUGGUUGCCAGUAGGCCUGGUCUCAUGUAAAUUGAGCCAAGGUCAAAAAACCCAAACCCCUGCUGGGCACACCAGGCUCUAAGCCAAGUAUUUUUUGGCUUAUAACAUUCAGUCCCUCAUCAUUCCCUAUAACUGAAACGAUAGAGGAGAACAUGACUUAUUCUCUUGAACCCCUCACCAGUUUCCCCAAGGCUCUGAAGUCCUUCUUCAUAGUCCUUAGGGAAGUUCUUCUCAUUUCAUCACUGCCUACCUGAAAUAACAAUAGGAGAUAAUAAUCUGAGGGCUGUACUAGGGAAGGCAGUUUCUUUCUUACAUUUUUAGCUUGGGCCCCUGGGAAGCAGCAGACAUACCUGUGUAGUGGGUUUGGUCUGCAUAUUGGGCCUUCUGCUUCCUUCAGCAGUAAGUCACCAAUGACAAUGACCCGUCUUUUAUUCUUUACUGAGGAGGUUUUAAUGCUAAUGGUAGUCUGACUAGACUUCAGUGACACCCCUAAGUGGGAAGAAUCAUCAUCCCCACCGUUGUCUAGUUGUCCCUGUUGUUGUCUCUGUUGCCCAAUUCAUCACCACAGUUUUUAGGAAGAGGAAAGGACAGGGGGCUCACUGUAGCAGGAACACUGUCUGCCAGAUGGUCCCCUCCCAUUAGCUUCUUGCAAGGAGGUAGGGGAUGAUGUUCUUCCUGUGGAGCCUCAGCUGGCUGCCUAAAUCUCAGGGCUGGUAGGGACUGGAGGACAGAUGGAACAAGACACUUUCUAGCAAGACAAACUAGCUGUGAAAUAAUUGCAAGCACUCAGUAUAUUCGACCCCACUCUGCCCAUCGAAUUAGAUGUACACAUAACCAAGGAAGGGUUUGUGUGGGGACUGUAGCAGUGUCAAGUUUCUGUCGAUAUUCCUCAAUUGGGUUCUGGUCCCAGGUCUGGCACAGGGCAGAAGAGAGAUAUAGUAUGAUAGAAAAAGAGUUAUUAGCAAUAUAUUCAGCAUUACAGGCAGUAGAACUGAUGAAGUACACCGCUGAAGUAAAAACAACACUACCCAUUCGAGGUUAGGUAAAAGACUUAGAACUAUUCCUAAGAUGGGGGUGGCCCAAGCACAAUGAGUGGCACGUUGGAUCACCUAUCUGGGUCAAUGUAGUCAUUCAUUAUAAAAGAACUACAAAAGAUAUUGGGCCCAGUGACAUAUCAUGGUGAUGUACCAGAAGAAACCAUGGUCACCCUGCCAGAGAAAAGUCCUGUACUAGAGGGAAAGUAUCCAAUCCCUGAAGAUGCAUGGUGCACGGAUGAGUCCAGCAAAUGCAAUACGAGCAAGGGGUGAGCCAUUGCAUACCAUCUCUCAACAGAAACAAUGUUGUAUGAAAAGGGGAAUGGACAGAGUAGCCAGUGAGCAGAGCUUUAGGCUAUGUGGAUAGUCAUCAUACAAGAACCAAGUGACUAUGCUUUGAACAUCUGCACUGAUAGUUGGGCAGUCUACAGAGUGUUUACAGUAUGGAUAGUGCAGUUGGCCACUUAGAACUGGACGAUUCAUGCCCAACCAAUCUGGGACAAGGAUAUGUAGGUGGAUAUCUGGAACGUGGCCAGGCAUAGGACAGUACAUGCUUACCAUGUAUCUGGACACCAGUCCAUGCACUCGCCAGGAAAUGAUGAAGCAGACACACUCACCUGAAUUAGAUGGUUAGACAAUUCACCUACAGAAAAUAUGGCCCACUGGCUACAUCAAAAACUGCAACAUGUCAGAAAGAAGAUGAUGUGGGCAGUGGCCAAAGAAUGGAGCUGCCUGUACAAACAUCAGAUAUCAUUCAGGCAGAUCAUUAUUGUGAUGCUUGCUCAAGGAUUAUACCAAGACAUUUGCCAGAGGUGACAGCACACCUUGCCGGAGGACACAACCCUUUACAAUGGCAGCAAGUUGACUAUAAAGGUCUCCUCCCUUGAUCUGUGGGGGACAUAUAUGCACUGACCUUUGUUGAUAAGGCAAAUGGGCUGAUAGAAGCCUAUCUGGAACAAAAAGCAAACCAAGCCUAUAUUGUCAAGGCCUUAACCAGAUGAGUGGCAGCAUAUGGGACUCCAGAAAUCACUGAGAGCAAACAGGGUACACAUUUCACAUAAACAGUGGUACAAAAAUGGACUGAAGAAAAUAACAUCAUAUUGAUUCCACCUGCCUUACAAUCUGACUGGAACAAGCCUGAUAUAAAGUUAUAAUGGAAUCUCAAGGCUGCUCUGAAAACAGAAUUGCAGGGCUUGCAGGGAUGGACUGAACAACUUUGUGAAACACUGAGAGAUCUGAACGAGAGACCCAGAGAUGGCAGACCCGCUGCCCUACACAUUCUAUGAACAACUCGAGCAUCUCUUAGGAUACAAAUUAAAGGAAAUAAUACUUCUGUAAAACACCAAACUGGGACAAUGAACAACAUUCUGCUCUCUGCCCCUGAAGAGAGCCAGGUAUACAUAAGAUAAAAUGGCUUUGGGAGGUGCAGAUAGGACUGAAGUGGUGUGACCUACUUGCGCCUUGGGGGAGACUGUAAGAAGUAGGGGGAGCAGUCAUCCCAGAAGUAACUGACCAAUGGCCCUCAGAAAUUAUAAUGCAAACCCUAAUUUUCAUUGCUAAGGGGACACUAAUCAUAUCACUAUGGCAUAUUAGGACUUCCUCCUUUGGUGCCUGAUAGAGUAAUACAACAAUCAGCAUCAGGGAAAAAGGUAUGGUAUGAGAGAUCUGGGCAUGCCACUGUGCAAGCAGAAAUAUUAACUCAAGGCAGAAAUACUGUGUGCAUUCUACCACGGAGAGUGGACUUGCCGAUACUGGUACUGACUGAACACUUCUUCUAUUCCUUAUGAGAUCCAUGGCCCACCAAGACCACCAACAGAGGCAGAAGUGGCAUAAGUGGACACCAAUAUGUCCCAGUGCCACUGAAGGAUCUUCACAACAUCUUGAUCCUGUUCUUCAGUGACGUGUAACAGUGAACUUUUUGAGCAUCUUUCAAACUGAAAAGACAUAAUUGAAAACUCUGGACACUUUAUAUCAUGACAGUAGAAGUUGUAUACACAUCAUAUGAAAUAACAUCUGUUAUGUUAUAAACUGUACAGAAUAGCUUGGCCCUGAUAUGCUCAAUCAUUGGUUCACACCAUGAGGCAGUGGAGUGCAUGGGGAUUGCUAAGUCACAGCCUGAGCCAAUGAUAGAGCACCUGGUAGAAAGCACACAGCCCCCCCAGAGCACAGAUGAAAGCAAUUCACCUGUAUAACUGGAACCAGGUUCCACUCCUCCCUAAGCCUCAUUUAAGGGCUAGCUGGCAUAAGGGAAGGUUUCCUAUCUGGUAGUCCCUUCUUUUGGAGUAUUUGUUAAGCUCUGAUCCUUGGGAUAGUAGGCUGGAUUCUUGAUGAUGCAAGGCUGUUGUGUCAGGGUGCUGCAAAAGAAGUUCCAUCUUCUCAUCAUGGAGCUGGUGAAGUUUCACUCUGCACAGAAUACAGCACUUAUGGAUAGGAAACUUUCUUUGCAUAGUGAUUUUCUUGUUGUCUUUGAAAAUGUUAGUACUCUCAAUUCCAGGUAACUUAAAUGUAAGCAGGGGUUAGAGGAAGAAGGCAGGAAGAAUCCCAUAUGAGAUUCAGAUGUGUCUGAUUUCUGAGAAUUCAGAAUUCUGUGAUUCAACUUCCAGUGGCUAAAUAGAAGCAAUAUCUGAGCUACUCCU
Gallus gallus (chicken) is the source of this 6177-nucleotide long non-coding RNA. RefSeq lists it as uncharacterized. The record is from RefSeq and is a predicted model, not a curated record. Lineage: Eukaryota; Metazoa; Chordata; Aves; Galliformes; Phasianidae. The transcript has 5 exons.